GACGAACGCUGGCGGCGUGCUUAACACAUGCAAGUCGAACGGAAAGGCCCUGCUUUUGUGGGGUGCUCGAGUGGCGAACGGGUGAGUAACACGUGAGUAACCUGCCCUUGACUUUGGGAUAACUUCAGGAAACUGGGGCUAAUACCGGAUAGGAGCUCCUGCUGCAUGGUGGGGGUUGGAAAGUUUCGGCGGUUGGGGAUGGACUCGCGGCUUAUCAGCUUGUUGGUGGGGUAGUGGCUUACCAAGGCUUUGACUGGUAGCCGGCCUGAGAGGGUGACCGGCCACAUUGGGACUGAGAUACGGCCAAGACUCCUACGGGAGGCAGCAGGGGGGAAUAUUGCACAAUGGGCGGAAGCCUGAGGCAGCAACGCCGCGUGCGGGAUGACGGCCUUCGGGUUGUAAACCGCUUUCGCCUGUGACGAAGCGUGAGUGACGGUAAUGGGUAAAGAAGCACCGGCUAACUACGUG
This 468-nucleotide ribosomal RNA is filed under the name uncultured bacterium. Its description in RNAcentral is "partial 16S ribosomal RNA". It matches the Rfam family "Bacterial small subunit ribosomal RNA", at positions 28 to 507 of the family's 1533-position model. The record is from RNAcentral.